RNAcentral lists this ribosomal RNA (761 nucleotides) under Bacillus pacificus. RNAcentral's name for it is "partial 23S ribosomal RNA". It matches the Rfam family "Bacterial large subunit ribosomal RNA", at positions 1 to 755 of the family's 2925-position model. The record is from RNAcentral. Lineage: Bacteria; Bacillati; Bacillota; Bacilli; Caryophanales; Bacillaceae.
UUUGGUUAAGUUAGAAAGGGCGCACGGUGGAUGCCUUGACACUAGGAGUCGAUGAAGGACGGGACUAACGCCGAUAUGCUUCGGGGAGCUGUAAGUAAGCUUUGAUCCGAAGAUUUCCGAAUGGGGAAACCCACCAUACGUAAUGGUAUGGUAUCCUUAUCUGAAUACAUAGGGUAAGGAAGACAGACCCAGGGAACUGAAACAUCUAAGUACCUGGAGGAAGAGAAAGCAAAUGCGAUUUCCUGAGUAGCGGCGAGCGAAACGGAACAUAGCCCAAACCAAGAGGCUUGCCUCUUGGGGUUGUAGGACAUUCUAUACGGAGUUACAAAGGAACGAGGUAGACGAAGCGACCUGGAAAGGUCCGUCGUAGAGGGUAACAACCCCGUAGUCGAAACUUCGUUCUCUCUUGAAUGUAUCCUGAGUACGGCGGAACACGUGAAAUUCCGUCGGAAUCUGGGAGGACCAUCUCCCAAGGCUAAAUACUCCCUAGUGAUCGAUAGUGAACCAGUACCGUGAGGGAAAGGUGAAAAGCACCCCGGAAGGGGAGUGAAAGAGAUCCUGAAACCGUGUGCCUACAAAUAGUCAGAGCCCGUUAACGGGUGAUGGCGUGCCUUUUGUAGAAUGAACCGGCGAGUUACGAUCCCGUGCGAGGUUAAGCUGAAGAGGCGGAGCCGCAGCGAAAGCGAGUCUGAAUAGGGCGUUUAGUACGUGGUCGUAGACCCGAAACCAGGUGAUCUACCCAUGUCCAGGGUGAAGUUCAG